CCUCUCCAUGUCCAUCGAAUAUGGCACAAAAAGUCAUACUCCUUCUCUGUUUAUGCAUAUGCUAAGUGCUGAAGGAAAGCGAAGCGGUGUGGAGUGAGUGAGACUGUGAGAGUGAGAGUGAGUGCGAGUGAGAGAUGGGUCUGCUUACAAACAAAGUAUUGAGACAUGAAAUCAAGCCUGGCGAUCACAUCUACACUUACAGAGCUGUUUUCGCUUACUCUCAUCAUGGGAUUUUUGUUGGGGGAAGCAAGGUUGUGCAUUUCAGACCUGCGCGAAACUUGAAGUCAAUCACCGAGACAUCUUCAGACCUGGAUGAUCAAACAUCAGACCCAUGUCCAACCUUUCCCGAUUGUGGAUUCAGGCAGCCAAACAGUGGCGUGGUUCUUUCUUGCCUAGACUGCUUCCUUCGAAAUGGGUCCAUUUACUGUUUUGAGUAUGGUGUUUCACCAUCCGUUUUUCUUACCAAAAUACGGGGAGGCACAUGCACUACUGCAUUAUCUGAUCCACCGGAGACCGUGAUCCAUCGGGCAAUGUAUCUGCUUCAAAAUGGCUUCGGCAACUAUAAUGUGUUUCAGAACAAUUGUGAGGAUUUUGCUUUGUACUGCAGAACUGGCCUAUUGAUAGUGGAUAAGCAAGGGGUUGGAAGAAGUGGCCAAGCUUCUUCCAUUAUCGGUGCCCCGCUGGCUGCAAUGCUUUCUUCUCCACACUGACAUUGGUGUGAGAAGUGAUGUGAUCAAGGUUGGAGUCGAAGACUUGGCCGUGAACUUGGGAUGGCAUUGCCCUGAUCAGAUGCAAGAGGAGGAGGAGGAGGAGGAGGAGGUGGUGGAUCCUGGAGUGGAAACUUCAGACACACAGAUUACCACUGUCAGAUGACUUGGGCAUUUAUUCAUCCGUAUAUGCCUAGGUUAUGGGACCUUCAUGUUAACCUUAGUGCUAUUGGUUUCUAGUUAUUCAACUUGUGCAUGGAGUGAUGUAACAAUAAUAUAAUAUUCAGUAUUAAUGAAGUAUAAAUCCGAUGUUUUCCUUUUGAUUGCUCCAAA
Molecule: non-coding RNA, 1040 nt
Organism: Arachis ipaensis
Lineage: Eukaryota; Viridiplantae; Streptophyta; Magnoliopsida; Fabales; Fabaceae
Source: RefSeq, a predicted model, not a curated record